AAUGGACAGCCACGGGAAAUUAAAAAACAUUCACUAUAGGGAAUUGUCCACUGUUGAAAAAACCUCUACAUUGUGGACAUUUGCGAUAAAUUACAAAACGUCAAUUAUGGGGAGGUGCUAUAGAGAAUUGGUUAUGCAUAUACAUACACAUUAAAAUUGGUAUUAUUUAUUAUAAUUUAAAAAAUGUAUUAAUUGUUUAUUAUAA
Molecule: non-coding RNA, 205 nt
Organism: Cinara cedri
Lineage: Eukaryota; Metazoa; Arthropoda; Insecta; Hemiptera; Aphididae
Source: the annotation of a GenBank genome assembly